Molecule: ribosomal RNA, 1408 nt
Filed under: Exserohilum monoceras
Lineage: Eukaryota; Fungi; Ascomycota; Dothideomycetes; Pleosporales; Pleosporaceae
Description: eukaryotic LSU rRNA
Rfam family: Eukaryotic large subunit ribosomal RNA
Source: RNAcentral
AACUUAAGCAUAUCAAUAAGCGGAGGAAAAGAAACCAACAGGGAUUGCCCUAGUAACGGCGAGUGAAGCGGCAACAGCUCAAAUUUGAAAUCUGGCUCUUUCAGAGUCCGAGUUGUAAUUUGCAGAGGGCGCUUUGGCUUUGGCAGCGGUCCAAGUUCCUUGGAACAGGACGUCACAGAGGGUGAGAAUCCCGUACGUGGUCGCUAGCUAUUGCCGUGUAAAGCCCCUUCGACGAGUCGAGUUGUUUGGGAAUGCAGCUCUAAAUGGGAGGUAAAUUUCUUCUAAAGCUAAAUAUUGGCCAGAGACCGAUAGCGCACAAGUAGAGUGAUCGAAAGAUGAAAAGCACUUUGGAAAGAGAGUCAAACAGCACGUGAAAUUGUUGAAAGGGAAGCGCUUGCAGCCAGACUUGCUUGCAGUUGCUCAUCCGGGCUUUUGCCCGGUGCACUCUUCUGCAGGCAGGCCAGCAUCAGUUUGGGCGGUGGGAUAAAGGUCUCUGUCAUGUACCUCUCUUCGGGGAGGCCUUAUAGGGGAGGCGACAUACCACCAGCCUAGACUGAGGUCCGCGCAUCUGCUAGGAUGCUGGCGUAAUGGCUGUAAGCGGCCCGUCUUGAAACACGGACCAAGGAGUCUAACAUCUAUGCGAGUGUUUGGGUGUCAAGCCCGAGCGCGUAAUGAAAGUGAACGGAGGUGGGAACCCGCAAGGGUGCACCAUCGACCGAUCCUGAAGUUUACGGAAGGAUUUGAGUAAGAGCAUGGCUGUUGGGACCCGAAAGAUGGUGAACUAUGCUUGAAUAGGGUGAAGCCAGAGGAAACUCUGGUGGAGGCUCGCAGCGGUUCUGACGUGCAAAUCGAUCGUCAAAUUUGGGCAUAGGGGCGAAAGACUAAUCGAACUAUCUAGUAGCUGGUUCCUGCCGAAGUUUCCCUCAGGAUAGCAGUAACGUAUUCAGUUUUAUGAGGUAAAGCGAAUGAUUAGAGGCAUGGGGGUUGAAACAACCUUCACCUAUUCUCAAACUUUAAAUAUGUAAGAAGCCCUUUGUUACUUAAUUGAACGCGGGCAUUUGAAUGAAACGUUAUUAGUGGGCCAUUUUUGGUAAGCAGAACUGGCGAUGCGGGAUGAACCGAACGAGGGGUUACGGUGCCGGAGUACACGCUCAUCAGACACCACAAAAGGUGUUGGUUCAUCUAGACAGCAGGACGGUGGCCAUGGAAGUCGGAAUCCGCUAAGGAGUGUGUAACAACUCACCUGCCGAAUGAACUAGCCCUGAAAAUGGAUGGCGCUCAAGCGUGUCACCUAUACCCCUCCGCCGGGGCAAAAUUUACGCCCCGGCGAGUAGGCAGGCGUGGAGGCUCGUGACGAAGCCUUGGGGGUGACCCCAGGUAGAACGGCCUCUAGUGCAGAUCUUGGUGG